RNAcentral lists this ribosomal RNA (756 nucleotides) under uncultured bacterium. Its description in RNAcentral is "bacterial SSU rRNA". It matches the Rfam family "Bacterial small subunit ribosomal RNA", at positions 8 to 756 of the family's 1533-position model. The record is from RNAcentral.
AGAGUUUGAUCCUGGCUCAGGAUGAACGCUGGCGGCAUGCCUAAUACAUGCAAGUCGAACGAGGAUCCUUCGGGAUCCUAGUGGCGAACGGGUGAGUAACACGUAGGGAACCUGCCCGCGCACCGGGAAUACGCUCUGGAAACGGAGAACAAAUCCCGAUGUACAGGAAGGAGGCAUCUUCUUUCUGUGAAACAUCCUGUAAGGGAUGGGGCGCGGAUGGACCUGCGGUGCAUUAGUUGGUUGGCGAGGGUAAAGGCCCACCAAGACGAUGAUGCAUAGCCGGCCUGAGAGGGCGGACGGCCACAUUGGGACUGAGACACGGCCCAGACUCCUGCGGGAGGCAGCAGUAGGGAAUUUUCGUCAAUGGGCGCAAGCCUGAACGAGCGAUGCCGCGUGAGUGAAGAAGGCCUUCGGGUCGUAAAGCUCUGUUGCGGGGGAAAAAAGGCAUCUGCAGGAAAUGGUAGAUGACAGAUGGUGCCCCGCCAGAAAGUCACGGCUAACUACGUGCCAGCAGCCGCGGUAAUACGUAGGUGGCGAGCGUUAUCCGGAAUGAUUGGGCGUAAAGGGUGCGCAGGCGGUCCUGCAAGUCUGGAGUGAAACGUAUGAGCUCAACUCAUGCAUGGCUCUGGAAACUGGAGGACUGGAGAGCAGGAGAGGGCGGUGGAACUCCAUGUGUAGCGGUAAAAUGCGUAGAUAUAUGGAAGAACACCAGUGGCGAAGGCGGCCGCCUGGCCUGUUGCUGACGCUGAGGCACGA